GCACCUGUGGCGGAACUGGCAGACGCACUAGACUUAGGAUCUAGCGGGGAAACUCGUGGGGGUUCGACUCCCUUCAGGUGCA
RNAcentral lists this transfer RNA (82 nucleotides) under compost metagenome. RNAcentral describes it as "tRNA-Leu". It matches the Rfam family "tRNA". Rfam says of the family: Transfer RNA (tRNA) molecules are approximately 80 nucleotides in length. Their secondary structure includes four short double-helical elements and three loops (D, anti-codon, and T loops). Further hydrogen bonds mediate the characteristic L-shaped molecular structure. tRNAs have two regions of fundamental functional importance: the anti-codon, which is responsible for specific mRNA codon recognition, and the 3' end, to which the tRNAs corresponding amino acid is attached (by aminoacyl-tRNA synthetases). tRNAs cope with the degeneracy of the genetic code in two manners: having more than one tRNA (with a specific anti-codon) for a particular amino acid; and 'wobble' base-pairing, i.e. permitting non-standard base-pairing at the 3rd anti-codon position. The record is from RNAcentral.